Molecule: unclassified non-coding RNA, 328 nt
Filed under: soil metagenome
Description: partial contains 5.8S ribosomal RNA, internal transcribed spacer 2, and large subunit ribosomal RNA
Rfam family: 5.8S ribosomal RNA (bases 1-120)
Source: RNAcentral
GAUGAAGAACGCAGCGAAAUGCGGUAAGUAAUGUGAAUUGCAGAAUUCAGUGAAUCAUCGAAUCUUUGAACGCACAUUGCGCCCCUUGGUAUUCCGAGGGGCAUGCCUGUUCGAGCGUCAUUAUAACCCCUCAAGCUCAGCUUGGUGUUGGGGCCUGCCGCACGGGCAGCCCUUAAAAUCAGUGGCGGUGCCAUCUGGCUCUAAGCGUAGUAAUUCUUCUCGCUAUAGAGUCCCGGUGGAUGCUUGCCAUUAACCCCCAAUUUUCUAUGGUUGACCUCGGAUCAGGUAGGGAUACCCGCUGAACUUAAGCAUAUCAAUAAGCGGAGGA